CGUAGGUAACCUGCCUCUUAGCGGGGGAUAACUAUUGGAAACGAUAGCUAAUACCGCAUAAAAGUCGACAUUGCAUGAUGUUGACUUGAAAGGUGCAAAUGCAUCACUAAGAGAUGGACCUGCGUUGUAUUAGCUAGUUGGUGAGGUAACGGCUCACCAAGGCGACGAUACAUAGCCGACCCGAGAGGGUGAUCGGCCACACUGGGACUGAGACACGGCCCAG
RNAcentral lists this ribosomal RNA (223 nucleotides) under uncultured bacterium. RNAcentral's name for it is "partial 16S ribosomal RNA". It matches the Rfam family "Bacterial small subunit ribosomal RNA", at positions 116 to 334 of the family's 1533-position model. The record is from RNAcentral.